This 579-nucleotide ribosomal RNA is filed under the name Rhizobium sp. EECC-547. RNAcentral describes it as "bacterial SSU rRNA". It matches the Rfam family "Bacterial small subunit ribosomal RNA", at positions 112 to 726 of the family's 1533-position model. The record is from RNAcentral. Lineage: Bacteria; Pseudomonadati; Pseudomonadota; Alphaproteobacteria; Hyphomicrobiales; Rhizobiaceae.
UACGCGUGGGAAUCUACCCUUUUCUACGGAAUAACGCAGGGAAACUUGUGCUAAUACCGUAUGUGUCCUUCGGGAGAAAGAUUUAUCGGGAAAGGAUGAGCCCGCGUUGGAUUAGCUAGUUGGUGGGGUAAAGGCCUACCAAGGCGACGAUCCAUAGCUGGUCUGAGAGGAUGAUCAGCCACAUUGGGACUGAGACACGGCCCAAACUCCUACGGGAGGCAGCAGUGGGGAAUAUUGGACAAUGGGCGCAAGCCUGAUCCAGCCAUGCCGCGUGAGUGAUGAAGGCCCUAGGGUUGUAAAGCUCUUUCACCGGAGAAGAUAAUGACGGUAUCCGGAGAAGAAGCCCCGGCUAACUUCGUGCCAGCAGCCGCGGUAAUACGAAGGGGGCUAGCGUUGUUCGGAAUUACUGGGCGUAAAGCGCACGUAGGCGGAUCGAUCAGUCAGGGGUGAAAUCCCAGGGCUCAACCCUGGAACUGCCUUUGAUACUGUCGAUCUGGAGUAUGGAAGAGGUGAGUGGAAUUCCGAGUGUAGAGGUGAAAUUCGUAGAUAUUCGGAGGAACACCAGUGGCGAAGGCGGCU